CAGGCUUAACACAUGCAAGUCGAGGGGCAGCAUGGUCUUAGCUUGCUAAGGCCGAUGGCGACCGGCGCACGGGUGAGUAACACGUAUCCAACCUGCCGUCUACUCUUGGACAGCCUUCUGAAAGGAAGAUUAAUACAAGAUGGCAUCAUGAGUCCGCAUGUUCACAUGAUUAAAGGUAUUCCGGUAGACGAUGGGGAUGCGUUCCAUUAGAUAGUAGGCGGGGUAACGGCCCACCUAGUCUUCGAUGGAUAGGGGUUCUGAGAGGAAGGUCCCCCACAUUGGAACUGAGACACGGUCCAAACUCCUACGGGAGGCAGCAGUGAGGAAUAUUGGUCAAUAGGCGAGAGCCUGAACCAGCCAAGUAGCGUGAAGGAUGACUGCCCUAUGGGUUGUAAACUUCUUUUAUAAAGGAAUAAAGUCGGGUAUGGAUACCCGUUUGCAUGUACUUUAUGAAUAAGGAUCGGCUAACUCCGUGCCAGCAGCCGCGGUAAUACGGAGGAUCCGAGCGUUAUCCGGAUUUAUUGGGUUUAAAGGGAGCGUAGAUGGAUGUUUAAGUCAGUUGUGAAAGUUUGCGGCUCAACCGUAAAAUUGCAGUUGAUACUGGAUAUCUUGAAUGCAGUUGAGGCAGGCGGAAUUCGUGGUGUAGCGGUGAAAUGCUUAGAUAUCACGAAGAACUCCGAUUGCGAAGGCAGCCUGCUAAGCUGCAACUGACAUUGAGGCUCGAAAGUGUGGGUAUCAAACAGGAUUAGAUACCCUGGUAGUCCACACGGUAAACGAUGAAUACUCGCUGUUUGCGAUAUACGGCAAGCGGCCAAGCGAAAGCGUUAAGUAUUCCACCUGGGGAGUACGCCGGCAACGGUGAAACUCAAAGGAAUUGACGGGGGCCCGCACAAGCGGAGGAACAUGUGGUUUAAUUCGAUGAUACGCGAGGAACCUUACCCGGGCUUAAAUUGCAGAUGAAUUACGGUGAAAGCCGUAAGCCGCAAGGCAUCUGUGAAGGUGCUGCAUGGUUGUCGUCAGCUCGUGCCGUGAGGUGUCGGCUUAAGUGCCAUAACGAGCGCAACCCUUGUUGUCAGUUACUAACAGGUUCCGCUGAGGACUCUGACAAGACUGCCAUCGUAAGAUGUGAGGAAGGUGGGGAUGACGUCAAAUCAGCACGGCCCUUACGUCCGGGGCUACACACGUGUUACAAUGGGGGGUACAGAGGGCCGCUACCACGCGAGUGGAUGCCAAUCCCCAAAACCUCUCUCAGUUCGGACUGGAGUCUGCAACCCGACUCCACGAAGCUGGAUUCGCUAGUAAUCGCGCAUCAGCCACGGCGCGGUGAAUACGUUCCCGGGCCUUGUACACACCGCCCGUCAAGCCAUGGGAGCCGGGGGUACCUGAAGUGCGUAACCGCGAGGAGCGCCCUAGGGUAAAACUGGUGACUGGGGCUAA
RNAcentral lists this ribosomal RNA (1437 nucleotides) under uncultured organism. RNAcentral's name for it is "16S ribosomal RNA". It matches the Rfam family "Bacterial small subunit ribosomal RNA". The record is from RNAcentral.